AUAACGCUAGCUACAGGCUUAACACAUGCAAGUCGAGGGGCAGCAUUUCAGUUUGCUUGCAAACUGGAGAUGGCGACCAGCGCACGGGUGAGUAACACGUAUCCAACCUGCCGAUAACUCGGGGAUAGCCUUUCGAAAGAAAGAUUAAUACCCGAUGGUAUAAUUAGACCGCAUGGUCUUGUUAUUAAAGAAUUUCGGUCAUCGAUGGGGAUGCGUUCCAUUAGGUUGUUGGCGGGGUAACGGCCCACCAAGCCUUCGAUGGAUAGGGGUUCUGAGAGGAAGGUCCCCCACAUUGGAACUGAGACACGGUCCAAACUCCUACGGGAGGCAGCAGUGAGGAAUAUUGGUCAAUGGACGAGAGUCUGAACCAGCCAAGUAGCGUGAAGGAUGACUGCCCUAUGGGUUGUAAACUUCUUUUAUACGGGAAUAAAGUGAGGCACGUGUGCCUUUUUGUAUGUACCGUAUGAAUAAGGAUCGGCUAACUCCGUGCCAGCAGCCGCGGUAAUACGGAGGAUCCGAGCGUUAUCCGGAUUUAUUGGGUUUAAAGGGAGCGUAGGCGGACGCUUAAGUCAGUUGUGAAAGUUUGCGGCUCAACCGUAAAAUUGCAGUUGAUACUGGGUGUCUUGAGUACAGUAGAGGCAGGCGGAAUUCGUGGUGUAGCGGUGAAAUGCUUAGAUAUCACGAAGAACUCCGAUUG
Molecule: ribosomal RNA, 697 nt
Filed under: uncultured Bacteroidales bacterium
Lineage: Bacteria; Pseudomonadati; Bacteroidota; Bacteroidia; Bacteroidales
Description: bacterial SSU rRNA
Rfam family: Bacterial small subunit ribosomal RNA
Source: RNAcentral